Molecule: ribosomal RNA, 269 nt
Filed under: uncultured Lactobacillus sp.
Lineage: Bacteria; Bacillati; Bacillota; Bacilli; Lactobacillales; Lactobacillaceae
Description: partial 16S ribosomal RNA
Rfam family: Bacterial small subunit ribosomal RNA
Source: RNAcentral
AUUUCAACAAUGAAGCGAGUGGCGAACUGGUGAGUAACACGUGGGGAAUCUGCCCAGAAGCAGGGGAUAACACUUGCAAACAGGUGCUAAUACCGUAUAACAACAAAAUCCGCAUGGAUUUUGUUUGAAAGAUGGCUUCGGCUAUCACUUUUGGAUGGUCCCGCGGCGUAUUAGCUAGAUGGUGGGGUAACGGCUCACCAUGGCAAUGAUACGUAGCCGACCUGAGAGGGUAAUCGGCCACAUUGGGACUGAGACACGGCCCAAACUCC